RNAcentral lists this transfer RNA (63 nucleotides) under Pediacus taiwanensis. RNAcentral's name for it is "tRNA-Tyr". The record is from RNAcentral. Lineage: Eukaryota; Metazoa; Arthropoda; Insecta; Coleoptera; Cucujidae.
GGUAAAAUGGCUGAUAAUAGGUAAUAAAUUGUAAAUUUAUUCAUGAAAUUUUUUUCUUUUACU